GCCGAGCUCAGUUGCGAGAGCUUGUAAUCCGAAUGGGGGCAUUAAGAUGAUGUGGACGCUGUUGUAGUGUUGCGGGCCUGGUCUGGGUGUGCUACUGCUGGCCUGCCCGUUCCAAGUUGUGUAGUGGGCCGCUUGGGGCCUAUGCGAAAGCUGGGCCUCACGGUCCAUAAUGUGGGAGGCACAGCGUGAGGCUGGCUUCACAGAGCAGCGACAACUGCCCGCUUCCAACGGUGGAAGGAUAACAGGCCGCUGCACUCCUUGGCCGCUUGGGCCUCGCAGCCUACUCUAGUGGACCAUCACUUUU
RNAcentral lists this signal recognition particle RNA (304 nucleotides) under Triticum urartu. RNAcentral describes it as "Plant signal recognition particle RNA". It matches the Rfam family "Plant signal recognition particle RNA". The record is from Rfam by way of RNAcentral. Lineage: Eukaryota; Viridiplantae; Streptophyta; Magnoliopsida; Poales; Poaceae.